GUACUCGCAUCGGCGGUAAAUAUACUAAAAUUGGAACGAUACAGAGAAGACUAGCAUGGCCCCUGCGCAAGGAAGGAAAAAAAGACCGUUGAUGUAUAUCAACGCCUA
Molecule: small nuclear RNA, 108 nt
Organism: Schistocerca nitens (vagrant locust)
Lineage: Eukaryota; Metazoa; Arthropoda; Insecta; Orthoptera; Acrididae
Source: RefSeq, a predicted model, not a curated record